RNAcentral lists this ribosomal RNA (395 nucleotides) under Stramenopiles sp. MAST-6. RNAcentral describes it as "partial small subunit ribosomal RNA". It matches the Rfam family "Eukaryotic small subunit ribosomal RNA", at positions 582 to 975 of the family's 1831-position model. The record is from RNAcentral.
AUUCCAGCUCCAAUAGCGUAUAUUAAAGUUGUUGCAGUUAAAAAGCUCGUAGUUGGAUUUCUGGCGGGAGCGGCCUGUCCUGCCCUUUGCGGGGUUGAGCACAAGCGCUGCAUCCGGCCAUCCUUGUGGAGAGCGUUUCUGGCAUUCAGUUGUCGGACUCGGGAUCCGCAUCGUUUACUGUGAAAAAAUUAGAGUGUUUAAAGCAGGCAUUUGCUUGAAUACAUUAGCAUGGAAUAAUAAGAUAGGCCUUAGUCGUUAUUUUGUUGGUCUUGCACGUCUAGGUAAUGAUUAAUAGGGAUAGUUCGGGGUAUUCAUAUUUAAUUGUCAGAGGUGAAAUUCUUGGAUUUAUGAAAGACGGACUACCGCGAAAGCAUUUGCCAAGGAUGUUUUCAUCG